CGGUGUCUCCAUGUCUCUCUCUGUGCGUCUCUCCCCAGCUACUGGCCAUACGGGCCCGAGGGUUGCCAGCUGCACGGAUUCCAUGGCUUCGUGACGGCACUCGCGAGCAUCAGCACCAUGGCAGCAAUCGCCUGGGACCGCCACAGCACCCACUGCUGCCGUCGAAAUGCGUCCGCAAAUCUUCCCCCAUUCACUGCAAAGCCGCGGCGUUGUUGACUUCUGGGUUUUGCUCCUCUUACAGCUCGAAUUUUUUUUUUGUUGUUUAAAACCAAAAAAAAAUCUAUCUUUCGAAUCA
This is a non-coding RNA of Petromyzon marinus (sea lamprey), 295 nucleotides long. The record is from RefSeq and is a predicted model, not a curated record. NCBI's taxonomy places the organism in Eukaryota, Metazoa, Chordata, Hyperoartia, Petromyzontiformes, Petromyzontidae.